Molecule: ribosomal RNA, 1088 nt
Filed under: Paenibacillus sp.
Lineage: Bacteria; Bacillati; Bacillota; Bacilli; Caryophanales; Paenibacillaceae
Description: bacterial SSU rRNA
Rfam family: Bacterial small subunit ribosomal RNA
Source: RNAcentral
CGAAAGCUGACGAGCACGCCGGGUGGGUGAUGAGUUUCGGAUCGUAAAGCUCGUUGCCAGAGACGUCUUCUAGAGUAACUGCUAGAGAAGUGACGUACUUGAGAAGAAAGGCCCGGCUAACUACGUGCCAGCAGCGCGGUAUACGUAGGGGGCAAGCGGUUGUCCGGAAUAUUGGGCGUAAAGCGCGCGCCAGGCGGUCCUUAAGUCCUGUGUUUAAACCCGAGGCUCAACUUCGGGUCGCACUGGAAACCGGGGGACUGAGUGCAGAAGAGGAGAGUGGAAUUCCACGUGUAGCGGUGAAAUGCGUAGAUAUGUGGAGGAACACCAGUGGCGAAGGCGACUCUUUGGGCUGUAACUGACGGUGAGGCGCGAAAGCGUGGGGAGCAAACAGGAUUAGAUACCCUGGUAGUUCCCCCCGUAAACGAUGAAUGCUAGGUGUUAGGGGUUUCGAUACCCUUGGUGCCGAAGUUAACCCAUUAAGCAUUCCGCCUGGGGAGUACGGUUGCAAGACUGAAACUCAAAGGAAUUGACGGGGACCCGCCCCAGCAGUGGAGUAUGUGGUUUAAUUUGAAGCAACGCGAAGAACCUUACCAAGUUUUGACAUCCCUUUGAAUCCUUUAGAGAUAGAGGCGGCCUUUGGGACAGAGGUGACAGGUGGUGCAUGGUUGUUGUCAGCUUGUGUUGUGAGAUGUUGGGUUAAGUCCCGCAACGAGCGCCACCCUUGAUUUUAGUUGCCAGCCCAUCAUGGUGGGCACUCUAGAAUGACUGCCGGUGACAAACCGGAGGAAGGCGGGGAUGACGUCAAAUCAUCAUGCCCCUUAUGACUUGGGCUACACACGUACUACAAUGGCUGGUACAACGGGAAGCGAAGCCGCGAGGUGGAGCCAAUCCUAUAAAAGCCAGUCUCAGUUCGGAUUGCAGGCUGCAACUCGCCUGCAUGAAGUCGGAAUUGCUAGUAAUCGCGGAUCAGCAUGCCGCGGUGAAUACGUUCCCGGGUCUUGUACACACCGCCCGUCACACCACGAGAGUUUACAACACCCGAAGUCGGUGGGGUAACCCGUUAAGGGAGCCAGCCGCCGAAAGGUGGG